UCUCCGUAGGUGAACCUGCGGAGGGAUCAUUACAGAGUUCAUGCCCUACCGGGUAGAUCUCCCACCCCAUGUUAUUAUUACUUUGUUGCUUUGGCGGGCCGUUAGGCUCCGGCCCGACUACCGGCCCCGGCUGGUAAGCGCCCGCCAGGGGACCCAAAACCCUGAAUAUUAGUGUCGUCUGAGUACUAUAUAAUAGUUAAAACUUUCAACAACGGAUCUCUUGGUUCUG
RNAcentral lists this unclassified non-coding RNA (229 nucleotides) under plant metagenome. Its description in RNAcentral is "partial contains small subunit ribosomal RNA, internal transcribed spacer 1, and 5.8S ribosomal RNA". The record is from RNAcentral.